CACGCGCACGGGUGAGUAACACGUAUCCAACCUGCCGAUAACUCGGGGAUAGCCUUUCGAAAGAAAGAUUAAUAUCCGAUAGCAUAUCAAGAUCGCAUGAUCUUGAUAUUAAAGAAUUUCGGUUAUCGAUGGGGAUGCGUUCCAUUAGUUAGUUGGCGGGGUAACGGCCCACCAAGACGACGAUGGAUAGGGGUUCUGAGAGGAAGGUCCCCCACAUUGGAACUGAGACACGGUCCAAACUCCUACGGAAGGCAGCAG
Molecule: ribosomal RNA, 258 nt
Filed under: uncultured bacterium
Lineage: Bacteria
Description: partial 16S ribosomal RNA
Rfam family: Bacterial small subunit ribosomal RNA
Source: RNAcentral